CUGCUGCCUCCCGUAGGAGUCUGGACCGUCUCUCAGUUCCAAUGUGGCCGUUCAACCUCUCAGUCCGGCUACUGAUCGUCGACUUGGUGAGCCGUUACCUCACCAACUAUCUAAUCAGACAUGAGCCCAUCUUUCAGCGGAUUGCUCCUUUGAUAACAGGAUCAUGCGAUCCCGUCAUUUCAUGCGGUAUUAGCACACCUUUCGAUGUGUUAUCCCCCUCUGAAAGGCAAGUUG
This 234-nucleotide ribosomal RNA is filed under the name uncultured bacterium. RNAcentral describes it as "partial 16S ribosomal RNA". The record is from RNAcentral.